Ostrinia nubilalis (European corn borer) is the source of this 1136-nucleotide long non-coding RNA. RefSeq lists it as uncharacterized. Lineage: Eukaryota; Metazoa; Arthropoda; Insecta; Lepidoptera; Crambidae. The transcript is spliced from 2 exons. The record is from RefSeq and is a predicted model, not a curated record.
AUUAAAUUCUAAUGUUUUUUGCAAAUCAAGAAGCUUAAUAAGUAUGAAAAAAUGUGCUAAGUGCAUCGAACAUGUAUACUUCUAUUUUGCAACAACAUAUAAAUUGUAAUGUGACAUGCAAUAAACGUUUUUGAAUUUGAAUUUGAACAUGUCACGAGCGUAUCCUGGCUAAAAUUCCUAAUAAGCAUUGUGCGAGGAGCACCCUCCCAGUGCUGGAUUUUUGUUCGGCAAAAUCACCCUGUGCUCGUACUGGUGAUAUUUAAAAAAUAAUCCGACCUUGGUUCUCUAGCCGGUCACUUCAAGCAAAAUCAAAACAUAAUAAUAUCUUUAUUUGCUUAGACUGAUUAAAUUAGUUCUUACAAAUCGUCAAAUACUAAUAAAACAAAAAGCCAAGGAUUCCAAAUCAGUCCCUUCAGGUCCCCUUGACGACCAAUAAGUCAAAUGACCAUCCACUCGGCAAAUUCUAUGGAAGCUGCCUUUGAGCGUACCGGCCUAUCUUGGGCAUUGGCAGGCGUCAUCAUUCUGCGGAGGUCAACCUUUUACCUGACAACGGUUCCAGGGAUGCGUCUGCCAUUCACCUCCAAGCCGAUGCUUGCCCCUGCAACGCCGUGCUUUAUUCAGCGUCUUAACACUCUUGACUGUCUAGCGCUGACCAAAUAAGAAUAGCAAAGUCAAGUGACUUUCCACUCAGCAAAUUCUACGGAGGCUGCCUUUGAGCGUAUCUUAGGCAGUGGUAGGCGUCAUCAGACUGCGGAGGUCAACCUGUUACCUGACAAUGGUUCCAGGGAUGCGUCUGCCAUUCACCUCCAAGCCAGUGCUUGCCCCUGCACCUGCAACGCCGUGCUUUAUUCAGCGUCUCAACACUCUUGACUGUCUAGCGCUGACCAAAUAAGAAUAGCAAAGUCAAGUGACUUUCCACUCAGCAAAUUCUACGGAGGCUGCCUUUGAGCGUAUCUUAGGCAGUGGCAGGCGUCAUCAGACUGCGGAGGUCAACCUGUUACCUGACAAUGGUUCCAGGGAUGCGUCUGCCAUUCACCUCCAAGCCGGUGCUUGUCCCUUCAACGCCGUGCUUUAUUCAGCGUUUUAACACUCUUGACUGUCUAACGCUGACCAAAUAAACCGAAAUCCUGUUAAAA